RNAcentral lists this ribosomal RNA (1361 nucleotides) under uncultured bacterium. RNAcentral's name for it is "partial 16S small subunit ribosomal RNA". It matches the Rfam family "Bacterial small subunit ribosomal RNA", at positions 28 to 1381 of the family's 1533-position model. The record is from RNAcentral.
GAUGAACGCUAGCUACAGGCUUAACACAUGCAAGUCGAGGGGCAGCAUGGUCUUAGCUUGCUAAGGCUGAUGGCGACCGGCGCACGGGUGAGUAACACGUAUCCAACCUGCCGUCUACUCUUGGCCAGCCUUCUGAAAGGAAGAUUAAUCCAGGAUGGGAUCAUGAGUUCACAUGUCCGCAUGAUUAAAGGUAUUUUCCGGUAGACGAUGGGGAUGCGUUCCAUUAGAUAGUAGGCGGGGUAACGGCCCACCUAGUCAACGAUGGAUAGGGGUUCUGAGAGGAAGGUCCCCCACAUUGGAACUGAGACACGGUCCAAACUCCUACGGGAGGCAGCAGUGAGGAAUAUUGGUCAAUGGGCGAUGGCCUGAACCAGCCAAGUAGCGUGAAGGAUGACUGCCCUAUGGGUUGUAAACUUCUUUUAUAAAGGAAUAAAGUCGGGUAUGCAUACCCGUUUGCAUGUACUUUAUGAAUAAGGAUCGGCUAACUCCGUGCCAGCAGCCGCGGUAAUACGGAGGAUCCGAGCGUUAUCCGGAUUUAUUGGGUUUAAAGGGAGCGUAGAUGGAUGUUUAAGUCAGUUGUGAAAGUUUGCGGCUCAACCGUAAAAUUGCAGUUGAUACUGGAUGUCUUGAGUGCAGUUGAGGCAGGCGGAAUUCGUGGUGUAGCGGUGAAAUGCUUAGAUAUCACGAAGAACUCCGAUUGCGAAGGCAGCCUGCUAAGCUGCAACUGACAUUGAGGCUCGAAAGUGUGGGUAUCAAAACAGGAUUAGAUACCCUGGUAGUCCACACGGUAAACGAUGAAUACUCGCUGUUUGCGAUAUACGGCAAGCGGCCAAGCGAAAGCGUUAAGUAUUCCACCUGGGGAGUACGCCGGCAACGGUGAAAACUCAAAGGAAUUGACGGGGGCCCGCACAAGCAGUGGAGUAUGUGGUUUAAUUCGACGCAAACGCGAAGAACCUUACCAAGUCUUGACAUCCUGCGACGAUGCUAGAAAUAGUAUUUUCCUUCGGGACGCAGAGACAGGUGGUGCAUGGUUGUCGUCAGCUCGUGUCGUGAGAUGUUGGGUUAAGUCCCGCAACGAGCGCAACCCUUAUGGUCAGUUACUACGCAAGAGGACUCUGGCCAGACUGCCGUUGACAAAACGGAGGAAGGUGGGGAUGACGUCAAAUCAUCAUGCCCUUUAUGACUUGGGCUACACACGUACUACAAAUGGCGUUAAACAAGGAGAAGCAAGACCGGGAGGUGGAGCAAAAACUCAGAAACAACGUCCCAGUUCGGACUGCGGGCUGCGAACUCGCCUGCAGAAAUUCGAAAUUGCUAGUAAUCGUGAAUCAGCAUGCCACGGUGAAUACGUUCCCGGCCCU